CACUUCCGGAGGGAGACGCAUUUGAACGGGUGGCCAUCACGUGCGUGCUGGAGGGGCUCUUCGUGUCGAAAGGGACGUGAAAACGUCAUCGCUGACCACAUCCAGCACGCGGCACGCCUCUACGUCAUAUUCCACGUGGUCGAUCCGUGUGUGUGUGUGUGUAGCGGAAUCCGGCUCCUCCCUCUUCUCGCUCUGCCGCUGUGUGUCGGUGUUGCAUCAAUCACUUGACGGAAUUACGCUCGUUGACAUUUGUGCGUUCCCUCCUGUGUAUCGCCCUGUCAUUUUGGCGUUAGGGUUUUUGUGCUGGCUGGGUCCAUUGGCACCCGUGCUCAUCAUCUUCGUUUUCGUUUUUUUGUGUGUGUGCGCGCUCUUUCCUCUGCCUCUCUCUCUUUGUUUUCCUCCCGUGCAUGUUGUUGUCCGCGCCUCCUUCUCCCGUCCUCACCCUCGCUCUCUUCGGCUUGUCGUCGGUUUUCGGGUGAUUUCUCUGCAUGCGCGUCCCACCCUCCUGUCUCACCCUCUAGUUUAUUUUCUUCGCUACGCCGCGCGCGCUGUCGUGGUGCGCUCCCUCUCCGGCUCUCCCCCUUCCCCUCCUUUUAACUUUUUUUCUGUUUUCUUUGUGCUCUCCCAUUCGAAAUCAUCCGAUCACGUGCACCUUCUCUAAAGAAGUUAUGGUCUUGCGGCUCGCAACGUUUUUUUUUUCGCGCGCAUCUACUCACGUCCCUUUCAUUUUCCCUGCGUGAAGUCCUCUGUGCUUGGUUUUCCUUUCGGAUUGUGAGUGUUCUUGCCCUUGGAACCGUGCUUGUUGAGACCCUGCCUCGCUGCCGCUGUGGCUGUGACGUCAUUGCCUUUUUGUUGGUGUGGUGCUCGCGAGUCCAAUCGUCUAUGUAUGUGUGUAUUCAUUUUUUUCUUUUGAGCCUGCAGGUAAUACGCACUUUCCUCGCACUCCGCUGUGCUGCACGCGUGUGAGCGAGUACCUGUGGGUGCAUCACAGACACACUGCCACCGCUGCCUUGCUUUGCUUCUCCGCCCCGAUGUGCUUAUCUCUAUUUCAAAUUUCUUUCUUGCUUUCUCGCUCCGCUUCGCUUUUCAGCGAACUCCGCAGGGGCAGUGGCGUGUGGAGUGUUUUGUGUGUUUCAUCCGCUCCUUCCUCGGCCGCACCCCUGCCGAUUGAGCCCUCCAGUCUUCUAUGUCCGCCUCUCCGCCUCCCUCGCCCUUCUCUUUUAUUUUAUUUUUCGUUGAAGUCUCUCGCGCUACGUUGAUUCCACCGUUGUGCGCGAGUGUCUGUGGGCGCGCGAGGUGGUUCAUGGUUUUGUUUGUUUGUUUUUUAGUAACUGUCACCCACGGCUCAUGUGUUUACAGCUCACUUCCUUGCCAAGUUAUUUCGUUUCUUUCGCCUCUCCCUCUGCACCUUCCGUGUUCGUUGGAGCCCGUGAAUAGUCUUACCCUUUCUUCCCUGAUUUCCCCAUCUCUCUGCCUUGGACGUGGUGCGCACUUUCCCUCCACCGUCACCGUAUCGCGUACGCGCACCGUCAAGCUUUUUUCUUUCGUGCCCAUCGCUCGAUCCGCUCACGUGCCCCGCACAUCCCCCUUCUCCCCUCCCUCGGCUCUGUGAAUUCACCGGAAAACACCAACAACACCGAAGGAGGCAGGGGCAAUUUUCUUUGCUGGUGUGUGUUCUGUUGGGCCUGGCGGAGGCGAGAGAAAGAGAGAAGGGGGUUUUCUUCUUUGCUGUUGUGUUUGCUGUUGCGUGGCCUCCCUCACCUGCUCCGCUCGCGUGGCCGCGUUCCCUUCGCGCCGCCCUGCGCCACAACGCCUCAGUGUGCAUCGGCGCACUCCUCCUCCUCCCCUUCCCGAGCGCGGCAUUUUCUUUCUUCGGCUGCUUCCCUGUGGUGGUGUCUACGCAUACCUGUCGCACGAACUAACAGAAGAGCCUACGUGCGUGCGCGGUCGGAUCCGUGAAGUAACUCGUUGUUUGUCGCUCGUGGUGGACACCAUGUAUGCAAACCUGAAACACUCGAAAGAGGAGACCGCGUCACCCUACUUUGGCGCUACGUCUGUCCCGCUACACAGUAGAGAUGAGGUGCCAUCGAAGCGACGCAAGAAUAGCAAGCCGAGAAGUCCGAAACUGAAGCGCAGCUCGUCGAAAUCGGGUCGACUCGCUGUGGAAGCCAAGGCCGCCACAAAGGCGAACGCCGCAUGCGGGAAGGCUCGACAACGUCCGAAUCAAAAUUCGGGCAAACUGGAUGCUCGCAAGAAGUCGUCUUCGUCGCCGUCCCGUCCGGAAAGCGGAAAAGUGGCCGCUGUGCUGCGAAGGCCACGGCCACAGGAAGCGCCCGUCAACAAAGAUGACGACGCUCCGAGCUCGGCAGGCCAGUUAUUCGAGUCCAUCGGCGCCAGUCCGUCUGUGGUUGCACUGCGAUCCCAGACGAGCGACGGCGAAUACUUCUUACCAGACUGGAGCGUCAGCAGCGAAGCGCCACCGGCGAUCCGUCGGACAGGUUUCCCUCUCAACCGCCCCUCCAGUGAGCUCCGCCGUAACUCGCUUAAUGCCAACAGCAGCAGUAACGCCGUGCCGCGCACGACGGACCGGACUCUUCGAGAGUAUAUGGAUAUGAGCAGCAGCUGCGCACCGCAGUCGCAGAAGCCGCUCCUAUGGGGAGCCAGUCCCAAGGCUGCCCCAAAGCACACGAAAGGCAGCAGUGCGAGCCCCACCACAGUCCGCUGCUACUCACAGUACCACAUGGCAAGCAGUACCUCUUCCUUGCUCCCAUUCGGUGCGCCAUAUCAGGUCCAGCAGCAGCGCAAGGUGGCGCGCACCGCACCAUCGGAUCUCAGCCCCGAAAACUUCUAUCCCCCGCUGUUCAUGGGACCGCCCAGUGAUCGUCACCAGCGCACGGUGGACAGCUGCGACGCUUCGCGGCAGCUGCGAAGUCGAUUCAAAGUAGCGAACGGCGAUGUUGUCGCCACAAGUGGCAAGCGGGGAGACUUCUCGAAGCUCUGCAGUGGCAGCAUCGCAGGGUUCCAUGACAGCCACACAGACGACAUCUCGCCUCUCGCUGCGCAGCGAAGCUCCCGAGCUGUCGACGCGGGCUCUCUUCGAACGCUGUCGUCUGCCUUCUUCUCGACUACCUCUCGGUCACUGCCACAGUCGCUUUUCCGGGUGCCCAUGAGCAUGAGCCCCAGCGCCACCCUCCGCAGCACCACAAACGGCUUUGACAGGGGAUCGGCUGUGUGGAAAUCCAUGUACGGAACCGACAAGAAUGGUGACGACGAAGAGAGCCCGCUCGCGUCCGGGGGACACCGGACGGGUGCUGCUGGUCAGCGUGGCACAGGUGGCCGCUAUCAGAGCUCCUUUCACUCCGCAACAGGACUCCUGCCUCUCUCUGAAAGCGACCCGAACGGUGGCGGGACUGGUGCUGAUGAGAGACCGGCAUGGCACCAUGGAAAAGUCAGCUCUUUGUACGGCUGCAUGCUUGAUGGUGCCGCCGUGGUGUCGAGCUCCCCGUCGGACGAUGGGGGCGGCGCUGACGAAGACCACGAUUAUUGGACGUCAUCGGGCACGCACCCGGGCCAGCGUUGCACGCUCGAGCGCAAACGUACGAUGAAUGUGCUCGCGUGGAUGAAGAAGACAGGCAAGAGCCGGCCCUGCGGUAAAACGGGCGGCACUCGCGGAGGCAGCGACAGCGACGACGAAGACAACGCAGACGCCGAGCGCCGGCAGAGCCUUUCCCCCACCAGCACACCAAAGCGUGAAGGCUGCGGUACGACGGCGCAUCGCAGCGAAGCCGACUCGCACAGGGACGAGGUGGUGGUGCGGAACGACGCGGGCAGCGAUGAAGAUGCGGACGCGGAGAGAGACAGCGAGGGCAACCUGGCCUCGCUGUCGCAGCAGACUGCCUUGCAGCGUAUUCUGUCGGGCAUGUGGAAACCCUCCGACCCCAAAGAGGUUGACGAAGCGGCGGCCGUGCAGGAAGAGCGACCUACUCAGCGCAUCGAACCUUCGCUGCCGUAUAGAAGUGGUGCCGGCAGAGGCAGCAGCAACGCGCACCAGAAGGUGAGCCCCGCAGUCGCAGACUGCAGGAGGCCCGUUUCGGUGCACUAUCACGGGUCGCCGCGCGCAAGCAUGACGCCGCCGGCCGGCUAUCGAGGUUGGUGCGCCGGGCACGGUGCACAAGCAGCCGCCUAUCUGCACAACCGUGGCAUUUAUCAACCACUAAGUCUGUCACCGUCGCCGCAAAACGCGAAUGGCUGGCGCGCGCAGCUAGUCGAAUCCACAUUACCAUCCACUCAUAUCGGCUGCUGCGCAUACACGAGCCCGACUCCACACACCGUUCCGGUGGCGUGCAGAUCUUUACCUCUGAUGUUCCGGCAGACGGUGACAAACAUGGCGGUGCACGAACUGCUGGGCCUUGACCCCGAGGCCGAAAUCAUUUUUGUGGAGUCACCCGUCUGGAAGCACUUGCCUCGCUAGCGGGCGAGCCGCUGCUCUCCCUCGUCAUCAGUUGCUUGAACACAGGGCGCGCCGGGGAUGACAGGCAAAGGAGGAGCCUACAGCUGAAUCUCACAUGUCUGCUCUCACGCACACACGCACACCUCCCCUCCGCGGUUCUUUUCGGCUGGUGACUGCCUUCUCUCACCACCGCAUCCGCUUUACCCCUCUCCGUUUUUCUGUCGGCUUCGGCCCCCUCCACCACAUCGUUUUUUCUUUUUCGUUUUCGUUGCUUAGGUACCUCUGCUGAUCAUGCGCAUGUGUGUGUGUCGCACGCAGAAUCUGCCGGCCGUUUCUCGUGCUCAGUACAGUGGAUUCUCGUCUCCCCUAUACUCCCCGCCAACGCCCACGGCAGGCUCAAGUCACCGGCUGCCCGCGGUGGUGCUGCCGGUGUGAUGGGGAUCAUGCCUAGGAGCGCCCUAGAGAGAAAAGGCGAAGACCAUCCAGCGAGACGGUGGGGUAAAGGAAAAAGGAAGUCAACCGAAGGGGAGCGGCUCGACUGGUGGUAAGGCUCGCUGAUACCUCUCUCCAUGUUCUGUUGCGUUCUGUUCUGUUCGCUCUCCUUCCUCCCCCAGCCGCCGCCUUCUCUCGCGUCCUCGUCACGCUCUCAUUGUGAGGCAGAGCGCAAGGCAACGUUGUCACAGUCGUGUUUCUGUGUUGUGCUCUCUUCUAUACCCCCUUCCCGCGCCUUGUCUGUCCAUCACGGUCUCGCAUGAUCUAUGCAGUUUUUGCUGCGUUUGUUGCCCUUCGCUGCCUUCCGUUUUUCCUACCUUGUACGCCGUUCUCGCAGCUCUAGCGCGGAGUUGAUGGGCCCGCUUCUGAGACCCAUUUGCCGCUCCGCAGAGAAGAAACCAGCGUAGUGGAAGAUAUCAGGGCGUCAAUCUGCGGCACUGCUUUUCCUCCGCCACUACCCCUCACUGCCGUCGUGCAGCCCGCACGCUAUAGACACCGAAAAGUCGUGAUUCAACACUUGCUCUCACUUGUGCAUUUCUGCUUUCCGCCCUUUCUCUUCCGUCUCGCUAUGUUUGUAUUUCAGCGCCUGCAAGACUUGUUCGUCUUCCUCGUAACAUAUACGCUCGGCUCGUCUCAUCGUGUGCUUCGCUUACGUUGUAUGUGCAUGUAUGCAUAGGCACGUGUGUGUGUAUACGUAGUUUGGCCUCUCUUUCCUUUAUGUCUGAGCAGCUCCGCCAAUCGGCUUUCUCUCUCCCUUUCUUCUCCCCCCCCCUCUUCUGGUUCCACCUCCUCACUGAUGCACCGCAGACCUUCCUCCUUUACGUGACCACCAUCACCCGCUGUUCAGUCUCUCACAUCACAGACAGGGUAUUAUAGAUAUAUAGAUGUACUCGGAAGAGGAUGUGCCAAUCCAAUACGACACCCAUCUCCACAUUCUUCCUUCUCCCAUCCGCCUUUCGCGUUGUUGGUAUGAUGUCAGCGUCUGUCGGUGUUGUUGUCUUUGUACUCGUGGUGCGGCCGUCACGCUUCUCCAUUCUGUUCUCUCUCUCUGUUCCCUUUUCGUUUGUGGUUGCCUCUUCUCCGAUUGCUCCCCUCUAUCUCUUUGCACGUUAUUUUCUUUUUCUUGUUUUCGGUGCUGGACUCUGUCCCGCUCCUCCCCCCAUCAUGGCGCCCAGAUCAUCAACCGAUGCGUCUGCGACAGAUUUAUGUGCCCAUGUCUGGCUAGGAAACCGUGUCAUACUUGUUUCCAUGCUUCCUUUACUCUCCAUCUCGUCAACCGACCCUGUCACCCACUGUGUGCAGGCCUGUGCUGUGUUGUGUGUGUGUGUGUGUGUACGAUGUAAUCACCAAACACAUGCAGAGACGACGCACCCACAUGCAAAAAAAAAGGGAAAGAGGCGACAUCGACAGCGAGUCGCCCACUCAUACACACGCGAUCUGGUGUGCAGUGCGCCGCGCGGCUGUGGCGGCUUUGUUGAGCGCACAUUUUACAACGCUUCGACGCUUUUCGGCAGCACCCAUGAGUGACGGUGGGUGUGCUUGGCGCCUGACCGCCCUUCCUCGUGGCCCGGCGGCAUCGAUGCUAUCGCGUAUGCUUUCUUGACGAUCAUGUGGCUCUUGCUAUUUAUUUUCCCUUGUGCGCUACUGGAAAUGGGCCCACCUUUUUUUUUCUUCUUCGUUUAUCUCGUUGCCGGUGUUCAUCAUCUGUUUUGGUUCUUUUUUUUUCUGCUCUUGUUGCCGCCACCUCUCAUUGCUCUCUUCAGCCUCUCCUUGUCGACUCCGCUCUCUCCCUCUGUGUGAUUGUGGCUUGAUUCUUCCGCGCAACUCGGUGUCACUGAGUUUUAGAGACAUGGAGAGCGGUCAGCACCACUGCGGGCGAUCCUAACCUCACUGCCCGUUUAGAUCUUUGAAAGUAGCGCGUGGCCUAUGCCCCCACGACUGUCGAAUCGUUAUCCCGCUGCACUCGCCGAAGCCGAUCCGUGCCGCUCCCUUUCUUCAAGUAGGAUGUACUUGGUUCUUUGGUGGCUUUCUAGCUUCGCCCUUGUACCUUCGCCGGCUCUCAUUUUAUGUGCCUGCGUCUCCUCUCUCUGUGCGCUCUGCUCGCGUCCCGGUGCCGAAUUCCUCACAUUCGCUGUUUUUGUUGUUGUUGUUGUUUGUCUGCUUGGCGCUGUACCCUCCCUCCCUUCCCCUCUCUCUCCACCUUUUUUUUUUCUGCACGGUCACCUUGCGCGUUCCCCCUUGGUGCAUGUCCACACAGUGUCGCAUGCGAGCUGUGGCUCUGCGAGAGCACUUACUGUUUUGUCUCGAUGUAUGUCGUGCCUGCGCAUGUAUCGGGCCCAUGCGCAUCGAUGCACCCGCGCUGGCCGACCUUUUUCUACGGUUUGAUUUUGACGUGUUGUCCCUCACCUGUGGGGCGGGGCCGGCUACUCGCUUCUUUUCUCGGCAGGACGGCGCGGGGCCCCUGCUGCUGUUCGUGUUCUGAAUGGAUGUUUCGUCUGCCAGCGCGUUUGUUUUUCUGUGUGUUGCCGCGUUCCUGUGCUGUUGUGAGGGCAGACGAGGCGCACUCCUCGUUGCGCCUCCUCCGCCUCUCAUCUGGCGCCCCCUUUCUGCGUGCUCUGACUUUGGCUCUACUCGCUUGCUUGUUUGGUGUUCCUGUGUUGCUGCUGCGGCGGCGGUUAGUGUCUACAGGCGUUUUUUUCGUUGUGUUUCGUUUUUUGGCACACGGUAAUGCACAUGUCGCAGUAUAUUGAGGUGAAGGCGUGCAUUGGACAGUGACGGCCGAUGUCUGCCGAUUUCUCUCUGCCCUAGUGCCUCCUCUGCGCCAACCCUUUCUCUCCCUCUUCCUCUCCCACAGCCCGUCCCGCGACGAUCUGUGGUCGCUUCAAAAGGAGUACAUGUUCUCCUGCUUGCUGUCUUAGAGGUUUUUUUUUCCAGUUUGUUGUUGUGCUGCGCUUCUCCUUCGCAGGGUUCUGUUGUUUUUUUUUUCUUCGUUUUCACAUUGAAACGGUCAGAGCUAACGGGAAGCACGGGUGGCCGGCGCAAGCGCGCGGUUCCCUUGGUGUUGGUGCGCCUCGCUCAGCCGUCAUUUGUGUGUUUCGCUUCGUUCUUCCCGCUGCUCACCUUCGGUCCGUUUUCUUUCUUUUUUUUUCUUUUCCACGAUUUCCCGUGUUUCAGAGUCAGUGGCACCCAUUCAACGCCCCUUCACAUCUCCGCGAGGUGAGCCAGGAAAGGCCCGAAGGACGGGUGAUUGGGGGGGGGGGGGGGGCAGCACUCUUGUGAGCACUGCACAGACAACUACGCAUAGAGCUCCGAACGAGCACCCGGGGUCUUAAGGCUCUUUGUAAGCGGCAAGAUUGUGCACACCCUCCGUAGCGGAUUAUUCGGCUAUACGUCUCCUGCGGGGGCGACAGUCCUGACUCGUCUCUAUAGGCUCCCUCACUCCUAGCCUUACACUCUGCGCCCAUACGCCGGCGAAGGAAAGAAGGCGUGUGUGUGGAGCAGCGCGAAUGCUCUAUGGGCCUCCGCAUAUAUGUGCGUGUUUUCUUUUCCCUCUCUUCCUUUCGAUUCUCCUUGCUGCUCCUCCUGUGCGCGCGUGUGUGCGUGUGGUGCGCUCAUCAAAGGAACCGUUUUGGCAUUGCCGUUUUCACAGCCUCCGCUGGUAUGCGUGGGCGUGAGUAUGUCAUGUCGAUGCUCGCUUGUAUCGGUAUGUAGGUACCACCUCGUAAGCUGGGCAAGAGCAGUGAUACUCCGAGUGACUUUAGAAAGGGUCCGUG
This 8715-nucleotide unclassified non-coding RNA is filed under the name Leishmania donovani. RNAcentral describes it as "gene:LdHU3.31.3930(CDS-product:hypothetical_prote in_conserved)". Lineage: Eukaryota; Euglenozoa; Kinetoplastea; Trypanosomatida; Trypanosomatidae. The record is from RNAcentral.